RNAcentral lists this ribosomal RNA (298 nucleotides) under Rhizobiaceae bacterium. Its description in RNAcentral is "partial 23S ribosomal RNA". It matches the Rfam family "Bacterial large subunit ribosomal RNA", at positions 2615 to 2925 of the family's 2925-position model. Lineage: Bacteria; Pseudomonadati; Pseudomonadota; Alphaproteobacteria; Hyphomicrobiales; Rhizobiaceae. The record is from RNAcentral.
AACGUCGUGAGACAGUUCGGUCCCUAUCUGCCGUGGGUGUAGGAAUGUUGAAAGGAUCUGUCCCUAGUACGAGAGGACCGGGAUGGACGGAUCUCUGGUGGACCUGUUGUGGCGCCAGCCGCAUUGCAGGGUAGCUAUAUCCGGACGGGAUAACCGCUGAAGGCAUCUAAGCGGGAAACCCACCUUAAAACGAGCAUUCCCUGAGAACCGUGGAAGACGACCACGUUGAUAGGCCGGGUGUGGAAGCGCAGUAAUGUGUGAAGCUUACCGGUACUAAUCGUUCGAUCGGCUUGAUCGU